Molecule: ribosomal RNA, 293 nt
Filed under: uncultured bacterium
Lineage: Bacteria
Description: partial 16S ribosomal RNA
Rfam family: Bacterial small subunit ribosomal RNA
Source: RNAcentral
GUGUCAGCAGCCGCGGUAAUACGGAGGGAGCGAACGUUGUUCGGAAUCACUGGGUGUAAAGGGUGCGUAGGCGGCCUUGUAUGUCGGAGGUGAAAUCUACCGGCUCAACCGGUCAAAUUGCCUCCGAAACUGCUUGGCUUGAGUCCGGAAGGGGAGGGUGGAAUUCCUGGUGUAACGGUGAAAUGUGCAGAUAUCAGGAGGAACACCGGUGGCGAAGGCGGCCCUCUGGUCCGGUACUGACGCUGAGGCACGAAAGCCAGGGGAUCAAACGGGAUUAGAUACCCCCGUAGUCC